GAUUGUCAAACUCUGUUUCUGUUUAAUAGGAGUAUAUGGGCUUCACAGAAUGAGUCUGCACAUUAUCAUCAAAACGUAGAACUCUGCGUCCACCUUCUGUUGUAAGGAGUCCAUGAUGAAUUGGCUCUGAAACCAGUGGAUUAGCAUAUUAGUUGUCAAUCUCUCCUGCUGACGUUCCCAUGUGAAGAUACCUUAUGUCACUCACCUGAAUAUAUGGGAAAGAAAGGAACAGAAAUCACUGAUACUCAUGUGCUGAAAUGCAGCUUUCAAUCACGGGAAGGAGGUCCAAAAUCUGAAGGAAAAUACUUCAAAAGUGUGGAAAGCAAAACUGUUCUCUCAAGCCCAUCUGCUGGAUAUGAUUAGUCUGUGGACAUUUUUCCCUCCAAAUUUUCAGCUCCUUAUGUGGUAAGGAAAAAUGUUUGAGUUCUUAAAUGCUGACAGGUUAGGAAAACUGUUUCCUUUGCUGCAGCCCCUAUAACUGUGCAGCCCUUGUUUGUGGACUGAUAGCACUGGGCCGGCAGCCAGGACCGACACGAUUCAGUGGGGCUCUGGCUGGCAGCAGUGCUAACAAAGGAGCUGGUCUGAGAUGCUUUUGUUUUACUGUCAUCAAUGUCUUAUUGUUUGCUAGAAUAAUUGCCCAGUUAAUCCUAACUGGUAGGAUAAUUAUAUAAAGCUCAUGCCCAGUGUAAACAGGAGGCAAUAUUCUUUCUUUAUCUUUGCCUGGCAUUAAGUACCCUCAGCUUCUAACAGCCUCUCAGGAUUGGCCCUUAAUUGUUUACUGCCAGGCAAUAUAGGUUGACAAAUUAACAUCAGGGACAUGGGAUCAAAUCCUAAUCUCCUUUAUUAUUCAGGUGAGGUUCCAGAUUUUUUAGGGCCUACUUUUACUAGAUCUAAGGAUUAGACUUAAUUAGAUUGUGUCCUAUAUUUAUAGCCACCCAGCUGGUAUUUUUGACUUUGAAACAUGUAGUUCCAGAAGUUCAUGUUUUAACAGGCUUUUUCUC
RNAcentral lists this long non-coding RNA (1001 nucleotides) under Anas platyrhynchos (mallard). RNAcentral's name for it is "lncRNA (ENSAPLG00020008967.1)". Lineage: Eukaryota; Metazoa; Chordata; Aves; Anseriformes; Anatidae. The record is from RNAcentral.